AUAACAAUACAGGACUCUUUCGAGGCCCUGUAAUUGGAAUGAGUACACUUUAAAUCCUUUAACGAUCUUUAACGAUCUAUUGGAGGGCAAGUCUGGUGCAAAGCGACUGACCCGUGCGUGCUGCAGCUGAAA
RNAcentral lists this ribosomal RNA (132 nucleotides) under Pelobates cultripes (western spadefoot toad). Its description in RNAcentral is "SSU_rRNA_eukarya". The record is from RNAcentral. Lineage: Eukaryota; Metazoa; Chordata; Amphibia; Anura; Pelobatidae.